AGCAGCCGCGGUAAUUCCAGCUCCAAUAGCGUAUAUUAAAGUUGUUGCAGUUAAAAAGCUCGUAGUUGAAUUUCGGGAUCAAAUUGUUGGUCGUGCCUCGGUACGUACUGGCAUUAUUGAUUUCUCCCUUCUGAAGAACCACGAUGUCAUUAAUUUGGUGUCGUGGGGAAUCAGGACUGUUACUUUGAAAAAAUUAGAGUGUCUAAAGCAGGCUCACGCUUGAAUACAUUAGCAUGGAAUAAUGAAAUAGGACGUUUGAUUCUAUUUUGUUGGUUUCUAGGAUCGACGUAAUGAUUAAUAGGGAUAGUUGGGGGCAUUAGUAUUCAAUUGUCAGAGGUGAAAUUCUUGGAUUUAUUGAAGACUAACUACUGCGAAAGCAUUUGCCAAGGAUGUUUUCAUUAAUCAAGAACGAAAGUUAGGGGAUCGAAGACGAUCAGAUACCGUCGUAGUCUUAACCAUAAACUAUGCCGACUAGGGAUCGGAUGAUGUUAAUUUUUAAUGACUCAUUCGGCGUAC
RNAcentral lists this ribosomal RNA (516 nucleotides) under uncultured Glomus. Its description in RNAcentral is "SSU rRNA". It matches the Rfam family "Eukaryotic small subunit ribosomal RNA", at positions 569 to 1087 of the family's 1831-position model. Lineage: Eukaryota; Fungi; Glomeromycota; Glomeromycetes; Glomerales; Glomeraceae. The record is from RNAcentral.